CUACAAUUGUUGGCCACAGAGCCCUGUGGAGCCACUGUCUCUGUCUCCCCACUGUUGAGAUUGCAAGCAGGUACUACCAUGCCUAGCUUUUUAAAAGUAUGGAUUCUAAGACUUAUUGCCUCAUGCUGAAAAGCUGGCUUUCUGUGGCGAAUGCAGAGCACCGGAGCAGCCUCGGGAGAACAGCUGGAGAAAGUGCACAGGAAGAUAAAUUAAUAGGAACUCAGCGUAGCAGCAAAUUCUAGCGCACAGCGCUCAGCUGACCCGUUAAAUGAGCAAUCCUGUUAAAUACGUUAAUCAGCACGGUUUAAAAAACCCAUGGGAAUGCUGUGGAAGAUACUUCGAGUCGAAACUGCACUCUGCACCGCUGUGGUCUGCAUCCUGCAGGUUCUUGGAUAAUAGUCUUUCUUUGCUUUAGCUCUUAAGAGAAUGGUUUGGGGGCUGCCAGACUUCGGAAAGCAGGUGUUCAGGAGCAUGGCUGAUGAGCCUGAGGUUUAAGGAAGAGGGAUCACAGUUCUGGGUCUGGCUGUGAGACCAUCCCUACUUCCCAGAAUGUCACCUGCCUCUCCUAAGGCCUGGAGGACAGGAGAACCCUGAGAGUUCAGGAUCUUUAACACAGGUGGGACUGGAAAAGACUUCUCUUAGGUAUUGGGGAGCUUAAUUAUAACUAAAAUUAGGUAAGCUGG
RNAcentral lists this long non-coding RNA (683 nucleotides) under Cricetulus griseus (Chinese hamster). RNAcentral's name for it is "lncRNA (ENSCGRG00015019257.2)". Lineage: Eukaryota; Metazoa; Chordata; Mammalia; Rodentia; Cricetidae. The record is from RNAcentral.